Molecule: ribosomal RNA, 775 nt
Filed under: Micrococcus sp.
Lineage: Bacteria; Bacillati; Actinomycetota; Actinomycetes; Micrococcales; Micrococcaceae
Description: bacterial SSU rRNA
Rfam family: Bacterial small subunit ribosomal RNA
Source: RNAcentral
AUACCGGAUAGGAGCGUCCACCGCAUGGUGGGUGUUGGAAAGAUUUAUCGGUUUUGGAUGGACUCGCGGCCUAUCAGCUUGUUGGUGAGGUAAUGGCUCACCAAGGCGACGACGGGUAGCCGGCCUGAGAGGGUGACCGGCCACACUGGGACUGAGACACGGCCCACACUCCUACGGGAGGCAGCAGUGGGGAAUAUUGCACAGUGGGCGAAAGCCUGAUGCAGCGACCCCGCGUGAGGGAUGACGGCCUUCGGGUUGUAAACCUCUUUCAGUAGGGAAGAAGCGAAAGUGACGGUACCUGCAAAAGAAGCACCGGCUAACUACGUGCCAGCAGCCGCGGUAAUACGUAGGGUGCGAGCGUUAUCCGGAAUUAUUGGGCGUAAAGAGCUCGUAGGCGGUUUGUCGCGUCUGUCGUGAAAGUCCGGGGCUUAACCCCGGAUCUGCGGUGGGUACGGGCAGACUAGAGUGCAGUAGGAGAGACUGGAAUUCCUGGUGUAGCGGUGGAAUGCGCAUAUAUCAAGAAGAACACCGAUGGCGAAGGCAGGUCUCUGGGCUGUAUCUGACGCUGAAGAGCGAAAGCGUGGGAGAGCGAACAAGAUUAGAUACCCCUGAUUAGUCCAUGCCCGUACACGUUGGGCACUAGGUGUGGGGACCAUUUCCACGGUUUUCCGCGCCGCAGCUAACGCAAUUAAGUGCCCCCGCCUGGGAGAGUUACGGCCGCAAGGCUAACAUCAUCAAAGGUAUUGACGGGGCCUCGCCACAAGCGGGCGAGCAU